This 333-nucleotide ribosomal RNA is filed under the name Triticum aestivum (bread wheat). RNAcentral's name for it is "partial small subunit ribosomal RNA". Lineage: Eukaryota; Viridiplantae; Streptophyta; Magnoliopsida; Poales; Poaceae. The record is from RNAcentral.
AUGCGAAUGCUCUACUGCAGGACCGUGGCAGCGAUGCUCGCCAAAGCGGACGACAACCACUCCCGUGCAAACAAAGGUGAGCAUUCAGGAAAAGAACACUUGGCUGAACUUCAGGAAAAAGAUGCACUGAAUCUUAAUAAUUUGGUCGAAAAGGGACGACAUGCUGAGAUUUUCGUUGGUGGUCUUCUGAUUGAUUUGGAAGGAAGAAUUGUUGGUAUGAAUUUCAUAGACGAGAAUAAAACUCCCUUUUUGCCCGUCCAGAUUGUUGGGAGAUGCCUGAAACACUUCAGAAAUUUGGGACACUUCUUUCCUGUAUAUGUGACGAUUGCUUGA